GAGGGCGAGUCUGGUGCCAGCAGCCGCGGUAAUUCCAGCUCCAAUAGCGUAUAUUAAAAUUGUUGCAGUUAAAAAGCUCGUAGUUGAAUUUCUGCUGCUCCGCAUUUUCCCUUUGAGGGGUUUUUGCGCUGUGGCUUAUUUCGGACUGUGUUAUGCACUGUCCGGAUGUUUACUUUGAGAAAAUUAGAGUGCUCAAAGCAGGCUUUUGCCUUGAAUAGUUUAGCAUGGAAUAAUAAAGUAGGACUUUGGUUCUAUUUUGUUGGUUUUAGGUACCAAAGUAAUGGUUAAUAGGAACAGUUGGGGGCAUUCGUAUUUAACUGUCAGAGGUGAAAUUCUUAGAUUUGUUAAAGACGAACUACUGCGAAAGCAUUUGCCAAGGAUGUUUCCAUUAAUCAAGAACGAAAGUUAGGGGAUCGAAGACGAUCAGAUACCGUCGUAGUCCUAACCAUAAACUAUGCCGACUAGAGAUUGGAGGUCGUCAGUUUUUACGACUCCUUCAGCACCUUGAGAG
RNAcentral lists this ribosomal RNA (511 nucleotides) under Theileria cervi. RNAcentral's name for it is "SSU rRNA". It matches the Rfam family "Eukaryotic small subunit ribosomal RNA", at positions 551 to 1094 of the family's 1831-position model. Lineage: Eukaryota; Apicomplexa; Aconoidasida; Piroplasmida; Theileriidae. The record is from RNAcentral.